CCCUUAGAUGUUCUGGGCCGCACGCGCGCUACACUGAUGCAUUCAACGAGUCUACAACCUGGUCUGAUAGGGCUGGGUAAUCUUUUGAAUGUGCAUCGUGAUAGGGAUAGACUAUUGCAAUUAUUGGUCUUCAACGAGGAAUUCCUAGUAGACGUAGUUCAUCAGACUGCAUCGAUUACGUCCCUGCCCUUUGUACACACCGCCCGUCGCUCCUACCGAUUGAAUGCUCAGGUGAGCCAUUCGGACUUUCAUCAUGCUGGUUUCCAGUUUUGAUGAAGGAAAGUCUUGCGAACCUUAUCAUUUAGAGGAAGGAGAAGUCGUAACA
RNAcentral lists this ribosomal RNA (325 nucleotides) under uncultured eukaryote. RNAcentral describes it as "partial 18S ribosomal RNA". It matches the Rfam family "Eukaryotic small subunit ribosomal RNA", at positions 1470 to 1796 of the family's 1831-position model. The record is from RNAcentral.